UACAGAGGGGGCAAGCGUUGUUCGGAAUUACUGGGCGUAAAGGGCGCGUAGGCGGCCUUCUAAGUCGAACGUGAAAUCCCUGGGCUCAACCCAGGAACUGCGUCCGAUACUGGAAGGCUUGAAUCCGGGAGAGGGAUGCGGAAUUCCAGGUGUAGCGGUGAAAUGCGUAGAUAUCUGGAGGAACACCGGUGGCGAAGGCGGCAUCCUGGACCGAAAUUGACGCUGAGGCGCGAAAGCCAGGGGAGCAAACGGG
Molecule: ribosomal RNA, 253 nt
Filed under: uncultured bacterium
Lineage: Bacteria
Description: partial 16S ribosomal RNA
Rfam family: Bacterial small subunit ribosomal RNA
Source: RNAcentral